RNAcentral lists this unclassified non-coding RNA (323 nucleotides) under soil metagenome. RNAcentral describes it as "partial contains 5.8S ribosomal RNA, internal transcribed spacer 2, and large subunit ribosomal RNA". The stretch from base 1 to 120 matches the Rfam family "5.8S ribosomal RNA", at positions 35 to 154 of the family's 154-position model. The record is from RNAcentral.
GAUGAAGAACGUAGCGAAAUGCGAUAAGUAGUGUGAAUUGCAGAAUUCAGUGAAUCAUCGAAUCUUUGAACGCACAUUGCGCCCCUUGGUAUUCCAUGGGGCAUGCCUGUUCGAGCAUCAUUUGUACCUUCAAGCUUUGCUUGGUGUUGGGUGUUUGUCCCUCGGGACUCGCCUUAAAGUCAUUGGCAGCCAGUGUUUUGGUUUUGAAGCGCAGCACAAGUCGCGAUUCAAGGCUAUCCGCCCGCUUCCACAAGCCUUUUUCACUUUUGACCUCGGAUCAGGUAGGGAUACCCGCUGAACUUAAGCAUAUCAAAAGCGGAGGA